UACCAGCACCCCGAGUGGUCGGGACGAUUAUUGGGCCUAAAGCGUCCGUAGCCGGCCUUACAAGUCCCCCGUUAAAUCCAACUGCUUAACAGAUGGGCUGCGGAGGAUACUAUAAGACUAGGAGGCAGGAGAGGCAAGCGGUACUCAGUGGGUAGGGGUAAAAUCCGUUGAUCCAUUGAAGACCACCAGUGGCGAAGGCGGCUUGCCAGAAUGCGCUCGACGGUGAGGGAUGAAAGCUGGGGGAGCAAACCGG
Molecule: ribosomal RNA, 253 nt
Filed under: uncultured bacterium
Lineage: Bacteria
Description: partial 16S ribosomal RNA
Rfam family: Archaeal small subunit ribosomal RNA
Source: RNAcentral